This 644-nucleotide ribosomal RNA is filed under the name Campylobacter jejuni. Its description in RNAcentral is "partial 23S ribosomal RNA". It matches the Rfam family "Bacterial large subunit ribosomal RNA", at positions 1244 to 1866 of the family's 2925-position model. Lineage: Bacteria; Pseudomonadati; Campylobacterota; Epsilonproteobacteria; Campylobacterales; Campylobacteraceae. The record is from RNAcentral.
UUUGCGUCGAAGGUAUACCGGUAAGGAGUGCUGGAGCGAAUAGAAGUGAGCAUGCAGGCAUGAGUAGCGAUAAUUAAUGUGAGAAUCAUUAACGCCGUAAACCCAAGGUUUCCUACGCGAUGCUCGUCAUCGUAGGGUUAGUCGGGUCCUAAGUCGAGUCCGAAAGGGGUAGACGAUGGCAAAUUGGUUAAUAUUCCAAUACCAACAUUAGUGUGCGAUGGAAGGACGCUUAGGGCUAAGGGGGCUAGCGGAUGGAAGUGCUAGUCUAAGGUCGUAGGAGGUUAUACAGGCAAAUCCGUAUAACAAUACUCCGAGAACUGAAAGGCUUUUUGAAGUCUUCGGAUGGAUAGAAGAACCCCUGAUGCCGUCGAGCCAAGAAAAGUUUCUAAGUUUAGCUAAUGUUGCCCGUACCGUAAACCGACACAGGUGGGUGGGAUGAGUAUUCUAAGGCGCGUGGAAGAACUCUCUUUAAGGAACUCUGCAAAAUAGCACCGUAUCUUCGGUAUAAGGUGUGGUUAGCUUUGUAUUAGGAUUUACUCCGAAAGCAAGGAAACUUACAACAAAGAGUCCCUCCCGACUGUUUACCAAAAACACAGCACUCUGCUAACUCGUAAGAGGAUGUAUAGGGUGUGACGCCUGCCCGG